GGAGUUAGCCGGUGCUUCUUCUGUGAGUGAUGUCCUUCCUGCCGGUUAUUGACCCGCAGGCCUUCUUCCUCACUGAAAGUGCUUUACAACCCGAAGGCCUUCUUCACACACGCGGCAUGGCUGGAUCAGGGUUGCCCCCAUUGUCCAAUAUUCCCCACUGCUGCCUCCCGUAGGAGUCUGGGCCGUGUCUCAGUCCCAGUGUGGCUGAUCAUCCUCUCAGACCAGCUACGGAUCGUCGCCUUGGUGAGCCGUUACCUCACCAACCAGCUAAUCCGACAUAGGCUCAUCCGAUAGCGCGAGGCCCGAAGGUCCCCCGCUUUCCCCCGUAGGGCGUAUGCGGUAUUAGCCUGGGUUUCCCCAGGUUAUCCCCCACUACCGGGCAGAUUCCUAUGCAUUACUCACCCGUCCGCCGCUCGCCACCAGGGAGCAAGCUCCCCGUGCUGCCGCUCGACUUGCAUGUGUUAGGCCUGCCGCCAGCGUUCAAUCUGAGCCAGUAAUCGAAACCUCGUACGA
RNAcentral lists this ribosomal RNA (513 nucleotides) under uncultured bacterium. Its description in RNAcentral is "partial 16S ribosomal RNA". The record is from RNAcentral.